GGGAUCUUAAUUUAAUUGAAAAAUAUAUGAUUUGCAUUCGUAAAAUUUAGAUUCUAU
RNAcentral lists this transfer RNA (57 nucleotides) under Mecistocirrus digitatus. RNAcentral describes it as "tRNA-Ala". The record is from RNAcentral. Lineage: Eukaryota; Metazoa; Nematoda; Chromadorea; Rhabditida; Trichostrongylidae.